Molecule: ribosomal RNA, 495 nt
Filed under: uncultured bacterium
Lineage: Bacteria
Description: partial 16S ribosomal RNA
Rfam family: Bacterial small subunit ribosomal RNA
Source: RNAcentral
GACGAACGCUGGCGGCGUGCCUAAUACAUGCAAGUAGAACGCUGAAGGAGGAGCUUGCUCUUCUGGAUGAGUUGCGAACGGGUGAGUAACGCGUAGGUAACCUGCCUGGUAGCGGGGGAUAACUAUUGGAAACGAUAGCUAAUACCGCAUAAGAGUAGAUGUUGCAUGACAUUUACUUAAAAGGUGCAAUUGCAUCACUACCAGAUGGACCUGCGUUGUAUUAGCUAGUUGGUGGGGUAACGGCUUACCAAGGCGACGAUACAUAGCCGACCUGAGAGGGUGAUCGGCCACACUGGGACUGAGACACGGCCCAGACUCCUACGGGAGGCAGCAGUAGGGAAUCUUCGGCAAUGGACGGAAGUCUGACCGAGCAACGCCGCGUGAGUGAAGAAGGUUUUCGGAUCGUAAAGCUCUGUUGUAAGAGAAGAACGAGUGUGAGAGUGGAGAGUUCAUACUGUGACGGUAUCUUACCAGAAAGGGACGGCUAACUACGUG